This 545-nucleotide ribosomal RNA is filed under the name Trigonopterus florensis. RNAcentral's name for it is "partial 16S ribosomal RNA". Lineage: Eukaryota; Metazoa; Arthropoda; Insecta; Coleoptera; Curculionidae. The record is from RNAcentral.
ACGACCUGGCUCACACCGGUUUAAACUCAGAUCAUGUAAAAUUUUAAAGGUCGAACAGACCUCCCUUAUUAGCUGCUACACCAAUAAUUAAUUUUAAUCCAACAUCGAGGUCGCAAUCUAUUUAAUCGAUAAGAACUCUCUAAAUAAUUACGCUGUUAUCCCUAAGGUAGUUUAAUCUUAUAAUCUAUAUCUAGGAUCAUUUAUUUACUCAUCAAUAUUUUUUUUAAAAAAAAAGUUAUAUUAAUUUUUCCAUCACCCCAACAAAAUACAUAAUUCUUCAUUAAAAUAUUAAUACCUCAAAUCCUAAAAAUUACUUAUGUAUAAAACUCUAUAGGGCCUUCUCGUCUUCUAUAUAAAUUUAAGCUUUUUUACUUAAAAAUAAAAUUCUAUUUAACUUUUCUAGAGACAGAAAUUUUCUCAUCAAACCCUUCAUUCAAGCUUUCAAUUAAAAAACUAGUGAUUAUGCUACCUUUGCACAGUCAAUGUACUGCGGCCAUUUAAUUAAUCAGUGGGCAGGUCAGACCUAUAAUUAUAAUCAAUAAGCC